This is a non-coding RNA of Pangasius djambal, 72 nucleotides long. The record is from the annotation of a GenBank genome assembly. Lineage: Eukaryota; Metazoa; Chordata; Actinopteri; Siluriformes; Pangasiidae.
CUCCUGGAGAACUAGUGGUUAGGCCAUGGCGCUCUCACCGCAGUGGCCUGGGUUCAAUUCCUGGCCAGGGAA